RNAcentral lists this ribosomal RNA (253 nucleotides) under uncultured bacterium. Its description in RNAcentral is "partial 16S ribosomal RNA". It matches the Rfam family "Bacterial small subunit ribosomal RNA", at positions 524 to 776 of the family's 1533-position model. The record is from RNAcentral.
UACGGGGGAUGCAAGCGUUAUCCGGAAUUAUUGGGCGUAAAGCGUCCGCAGGUGGUUUGUCAAGUCUGCUGUUAAAGCGUGGAGCUUAACUCCAUAUCGGCGGUGGAAACUGAUUAACUAGAGGGUGGUAGGGGUCACGGGAAUUCCCAGUGUAGCGGUGAAAUGCGUAGAUGUUGGGAAGAACACCAGCGGCGAAAGCGCGUGACUGGGUCAUUACUGACACUCAUGGACGAAAGCUAGGGGAGCGAAAGGG